Molecule: small RNA, 381 nt
Filed under: Pongo abelii (Sumatran orangutan)
Lineage: Eukaryota; Metazoa; Chordata; Mammalia; Primates; Hominidae
Description: retained intron
Source: RNAcentral
AAAAAUUCAAAUAUAAAAUAUCAUAGAAAGCAUGAAGCUUGUUCUUUUAUUUCCUUUGUUUGAUUACGUCUUCUUAUAGGUAUCUAAAAAAGUGGCAGAUUUAAUCCUUGAAAAACAGCCUGCUUAUGUAAAGGAACUUGAAAGAGUUACCUCAUUGCAGACAGGUCUUCAAUUAGCUGCUGUUAUCUGUACAAAUGGGAGAAGACACUUGAAUAUUGCAAAGGAAGGUUUUACUCAAGCUAGUUUAGGCCUUCUUGCAAAUCAAAGGAAACGUCAGUUGCUGAUUGGACUUCUGAAAUCUCUGAGAACUAUAAAAACAUUGCAAAGAACAGAUGUACGGUUAAGUGAAAUGCUGGAGGAGGAAGAUUAUCCAGGAGCUAU